AAAAGAAACAAGAAAGGUGAAGUGGGCCCCACUUAUGGUCAGGAGGAUGAUGCUUCUUCAUCACUUCAAGAAAUAACUACAUUCUGUAUGACUUCCACACGGCUGAGACCUCCAGGAUAUGGUCAAAACUGUGCUGAUGUGUAACAGUUAUAGCCCUUCUAGAAUGCAAGUUUUCAAGGAAUCCUUCUGUCUUGUUCAUGCUGCCUCCCCAACAUCAAGCACACAGCCUGGCAUACAGCAAAUGCCCAAUAAAUUUUUGUGUGAGUGAA
This is a long non-coding RNA of Odocoileus virginianus texanus, 269 nucleotides long. RefSeq lists it as uncharacterized. The record is from RefSeq and is a predicted model, not a curated record. NCBI's taxonomy places the organism in Eukaryota, Metazoa, Chordata, Mammalia, Artiodactyla, Cervidae.